UACGUAGGGGGCUAGCGUUGUCCGGAUUUAUUGGGCGUAAAGAGCGUGUAGGCGGCCAGGUAGGUCUGCUGUGAAAACUCGAGGCUCAACCUCGAGACGUCGGUUGAAACCGUACGGCUAGAGUCCGGAAGAGGAGAGUGGAAUUCCCGGUGUAGCGGUGAAAUGCGCAGAUAUCGGGAAGAACACCCGUGGCGAAGGCGGCUCUCUGGGACGGUACUGACGCUGAGACGCGAAAGCGUGGGGAGCGAACAGG
RNAcentral lists this ribosomal RNA (253 nucleotides) under uncultured bacterium. RNAcentral's name for it is "partial 16S ribosomal RNA". It matches the Rfam family "Bacterial small subunit ribosomal RNA", at positions 524 to 776 of the family's 1533-position model. The record is from RNAcentral.